Molecule: ribosomal RNA, 289 nt
Filed under: uncultured bacterium
Lineage: Bacteria
Description: partial 16S ribosomal RNA
Rfam family: Bacterial small subunit ribosomal RNA
Source: RNAcentral
GACAGAGGAUGCAAGCGUUAUCCGGAAUGAUUGGGCGUAAAGCGUCUGUAGGUGGCUUUUUAAGUCCGCCGUCAAAUCCCAGGGCUCAACCCUGGACAGGCGGUGGAAACUACCAAGCUGGAGUACGGUAGGGGCAGAGGGAAUUUCCGGUGGAGCGGUGAAAUGACGUAGAUAUCGCUUGGAACGCCGAAGGUGAAAACAGGCUGCUGGGGUUGCGCCGACGCUGAGACACGAAGCCAGGGAGCAACGGAAUAGAACCGAGUAGUCCAAGACGAUGUACCGUCGUGCU